GUUAGGAAUAUUGGACAAUGGGCGCAAGCCUGAUCCAGCCAUGCCGCGCGAGUGAUGAAGGCCUUCGGGUUGUAAAGCUCUUUAGCCGAUGAUUAUAAUGACUGUAGUCGGAAAAUAAGCCCCGGCUAACUUCGUGCCAGCAGCCGCGGUAAUACGAAGGGGGCGAGCGUUAUUCGGAAUCACUGGGCGUAAAGCGUGCGUAGGCGUCUUUGCAAGUUGGGAGUGAAAGCCCAGGGCUCAACCCUGGAAUUGCGCUCAAAACUGCAAGGCUCGAAUUCGGGAGAGGAUAGCGGAAUUGUCAGUGUAGCAGUGAAAUGCGUAGAUAUUGACAGGAACACCAGUGGCGUAAGCGGCUAUCUGGACCGAUAUUGACGCUGAGGCACGAAAGCGUGGGGAUCAAACAGGAUUAGAAACCCUUGUAGUCC
RNAcentral lists this ribosomal RNA (425 nucleotides) under uncultured bacterium. Its description in RNAcentral is "partial 16S ribosomal RNA". It matches the Rfam family "Bacterial small subunit ribosomal RNA", at positions 354 to 796 of the family's 1533-position model. The record is from RNAcentral.